UGCAUAUCAAUAAGCGUAGGAAAAGAAACCAACAGGGAUUGCCUCAGUAACGGCGAGUGAAGCGGCAAAAGCUCAAAUUUGAAAUCCUUCGGGAAUUGUAUUUUGAAGGUGGGUUUGGUUAGGAAAAGUUACUUUAAGUCCAUUGGAAAAUGGCGCCAUGGAGGGUGAUAGCCCCGUAAAAGUACCCCUUUUCCUUUUAUCCAUUCCCUCCAAAGAGUCGAGUUGUUUGGGAAUGCAGCUCUAAGUGGGUGGUAAAUUCCAUCUAAAGCUAAAUAUUGGCGAGAGACCGAUAGCGAACAAGUACAGUGAUGGAAAGAUGAAAAGCACUUUGAAAAGAGAGUGAAAAAGUACGUGAAAUUGUUGAAAGGGAAGGGCUUGCAAGCAGACACAACCUCGGUUGGGCCAGCAUCGGAGUGGGGGGAGACAAAAAAGAAAAGGAAUGUAACUCUUUCGAGUAUUAUAGCCUUUUCUCAUAUCUCCACCCCCUUCCGAGGCCUGCGAUUCUUCAAGGAUGCUGGCGUAAUGGUUGCAAGUCGCCCGUCUAGAAACACGGACC
Molecule: ribosomal RNA, 556 nt
Filed under: Metschnikowia sp. (in: budding yeasts & allies)
Lineage: Eukaryota; Fungi; Ascomycota; Pichiomycetes; Serinales; Metschnikowiaceae
Description: Metschnikowia sp. (in: Fungi) partial large subunit ribosomal RNA
Rfam family: Eukaryotic large subunit ribosomal RNA
Source: RNAcentral